This 483-nucleotide ribosomal RNA is filed under the name uncultured eukaryote. RNAcentral's name for it is "bacterial SSU rRNA". The stretch from base 59 to 483 matches the Rfam family "Eukaryotic small subunit ribosomal RNA", at positions 29 to 433 of the family's 1831-position model. The record is from RNAcentral.
GCCUACCCGGAGACGCCUACAGACCAGGAACGGACCAUGUCCAAUAGGCCCGCGUCGUUGCUCGUCUCCGAGACUAAGCCAUGCAAGUCCAAGUACACGUCCUUGAACGACGGAAACUGCGAACGGCUCAUUAAAUCAGUUGCGAUCUACUCGGCGUUCCGCGCCGCCGGAUAACCGUAGUAAUUCUAGGGCUAAUACGUGCGAAGCGCCCGAAGCCGCGAGGCGACGGGCGUUCUCGCCGGAUGUAGGAACCGACCCGGGGACCGCCGGGGGCAACCCGGCGCCCCCGAGACGGGGCGAACCACGGUGAAAUGACGGAUCGUCGGCCCCGCGCCGGCGACUCGCCGAAUGAGUUUCUGACCUAUCAACUCGAGACGGCGGGGUAGAGGCCCGCCGCGGUAACGACGGGUAACGGGGAAUCAGGGUUCGAUUCCGGAGAGGGAGCCCGAGAAACGGCUACCACUUCCAAGGAAGGCAGCAGGC